RNAcentral lists this ribosomal RNA (468 nucleotides) under uncultured bacterium. RNAcentral describes it as "bacterial SSU rRNA". It matches the Rfam family "Bacterial small subunit ribosomal RNA", at positions 39 to 500 of the family's 1533-position model. The record is from RNAcentral.
GCGGCACGCUUCAUACAUGCAAGUCGAGGGGCAGCAUAAAGUACUUGUACUUUGAUGGCGACCGGCGAACGGGUGCGUAACGCGUAUGCAACUUACCUUUUACUAGAGAAUAGCCAAGAGAAAUUUUGAUUAAUGCUCUAUACUCUUUUUAACUCACAUGAGUUUUUAAGAAAAGCUCCGGCGGUAAAAGAUGGGCAUGCGUCCUAUUAGCUUGUAGGUGAGGUAACGGCUCACCUAAGCUCCGAUAGGUAGGGGUCCUGAGAGGGAGAUCCCCCACACUGGUACUGAGACACGGACCAGACUUCUACGGAAGGCAGCAGUAAGGAAUAUUGGACAAUGGAGGAAACUCUGAUCCAGCGAUGCCGCGUGAAGGAAGACGGCCCUAUGGGUUGUAAACUUCUUUUAUACAGGAAGAAACCUUUCCACGUGUGGAAAGCUGACGGUACUGUAAGAAUAAGGAUCGGCUAA